UAUAUAAAAAUAAAAGCACCCCAUAUAUUCCUGGAAAUACGGUCUGGGAGUCUCUACAGAGUAACCGAAAAUUACUCUACUAUGGACGGUUAAUAAUAGAAU
Molecule: non-coding RNA, 102 nt
Filed under: Paraliobacillus sp. PM-2
Lineage: Bacteria; Bacillati; Bacillota; Bacilli; Caryophanales; Bacillaceae
Also listed under: 1 other name
Description: Purine riboswitch aptamer
Rfam family: Purine riboswitch aptamer
About the family: Riboswitches are metabolite binding domains within certain messenger RNAs that serve as precision sensors for their corresponding targets. Allosteric rearrangement of mRNA structure is mediated by ligand binding, and this results in modulation of gene expression.
Source: Rfam by way of RNAcentral